Long non-coding RNA from Acinonyx jubatus (cheetah), 13683 nucleotides. RefSeq lists it as uncharacterized. NCBI's taxonomy places the organism in Eukaryota, Metazoa, Chordata, Mammalia, Carnivora, Felidae. The record is from RefSeq and is a predicted model, not a curated record. The transcript has 2 exons.
GUCAACUAAAUUUGGGAUUCUAAUUUUAGCCCUGGAUGAGAAAAGUGGAAAGGUGACUAAGAAUUAACUGUCAGACCACAUAGAAAUUCACACCUUAGACCGGAUCGAGUGUGUGUCCCCUUCCCCUCUGUGGUGGGCCCCACGUGCAUCCAAGGCCCCUGGAGUUUGAGGCCGAAAUGCACGUGUCUGGGCCCUGGUCCAGACCUAUAGAAUUAGAAUCCUAGUGGGGUGGAGGUUAGGGGAGUAACAAGCCUCCCGGCUGCUAGCCCCGCACACCGAAGCUCAGGACCCCCCUCUUCUUGCCAGUGACAAGACCGACGGGCAGCAGGUUGGCCAAGGACCCUUUGCCAGAGGGAAAAUGCAGAGGAGGAAGAAAUCAUCGUCUCCAUAUUUUAAAUAUAUUAAUUUUUCUGCCCCGCACAUUGUCUCAGAAGAGCUCCAAAGUGGAUAACAAAGUCCCUGCUAUGGAGAAGGGAUCCCGCCCAAGAGAUCUUCUGGGGGUCUUGGCCAGGGCACUUGGGCUGCAAACACCAGUCACUGGCCAUGACCCUCUAAGGCAGUGGUAAGGCCGUGGUGGACAAAGGGACGGUGGUCACCAGUUGGGAACAGUGCGGAGAGCCAGGCUUUGGAGCCCCCACACCUGGCAGGGCCAGGGAUCUCAGUGACAGGAACCCCACCCAGUCCCUGGCGUGUCCAUUCUGGGGAAGGGCUGACUCCUGCCCUUUUCAGACUUCAGAUUGCCCCAUAUGCCAUCCCAGCUCCAGGGAAGGAAGCCUGAUAACUCAGGUUACCUGCCCACCCAGCACUAACGGAGGAGGAACAGCUCCCCCAGCAGUGCCCCCGAGACUGUAGUGAAGAGGAGGAGUAAUUCCCCAAACAAAACUAUAUGAAGAAGAGAAAAGGACGGUCAGAAGACCCAAACAACGAUGUUCACCACCAUGGGCCAAUUUUUUUGUUUUAUAGAUGAGGAGACUGGAGGUCAGAGUGGUUCAGUGACUUUCCAAGUCAAUUAAUGAUGGAGCCAAAAUUCCCAGUCUGAUCCAGAUUCUAAGCUGAGCUCUCCCUGCAACAGGGCUCAGUCUCCUCUGAGUAUGUUUGACCCAGGCUUAGAUCCCUCUCCCUCCAACCAGCAAGCAAUAAUUAGCCACUCGAUUGUGAUUUCUGGUUGGGCUGGCAGGGCAGUCAUUUUAACUCGGGGUGUCUUUGGCUCCGUUGAGAGCGGACUCUUGACAGACCUAUUGGGCACCUCUUCUUCUAUGUGUCCCGAAAGUCUGGUCUUCCCUGAGGCUGGGGCUCAGAUGGGCUCAGAUGGGGCUCUGUUUGCAGGCCGAGCAGCCACCCGGAGCUUGGCAGGCACUGCCCAGCAGAGAAUGCUGCUGACACGAGACAGCCCGCAGGCUGAGGGCUGAGCAUCAAUGACAAGAGGCUGAGUUCGUGCCCCGUGGACACUGUCCUCUGCUAUCCAGACACCUGGGGCCACCCCAAGGAAGCAAAGUGAGCACUUCCUGGGCACCAGCCCUUGCCAGGCUGUGUUCUGGUUACAUCUUGUAGCCCUUACAUCCACCCGACAGUGUGCGAUCAUUAAGGACUGGUUACUAGGUCACCAGCGGGUGACCUUGGACACUUCACAUCCGUGGGCUCCGGCUUUGUCACUGGAAAAUGAGCGUCAUUGAGAUAGUGGACAGAGUGCCUUGCACAGUGCCAGGCACACAGCCAACACUCGGUGACAGAACAGUGGGAGUGUAACCAUGGUGGCGGUUGUUAUUCUCACUAAAGGAUGAGAAGCACCUGAACCACGGGACAGUGAAAGCCUGGCCACUCUGGCUUCAUAGCAGGAGAAACUGAGGCUCAGAGAGCUGAAGUACCUGCACAGGGACACACAGCCCAUACACCAGGAGCUAGCUGACCCAAAGCAUCUCUGAGUCUGAAGCGUAUGUUCUUUCAACUGCACCACACUGCCUCUCAGAGGUUCUGGUCUACAUCCCAGCUCUGCCACUUGCUCCCCUGGCCUGAGUCUCAUGGCCACUCCCCCACCCUGCCGUGUCUCCAGGCCCCGAUGGGUCACACUUCACACUGCCACCUUGGAUUAGCUUGAUUCAGCAGGAUUUUCAAUCAGCUUGAGAAUUCCAGGUCUUGGGAACUGGUGGGUACCCACUAGACCCAGACUAUCCUUGGAAAGCCUGAGAGCAGAGGGUACAAGCAACCCAGGAGGGAGGGGCCCCCCGAGUGCCUGGGGAAGACCUCCCAGUUACAGGAGACCCAAGUGCCAUGGACUUCAACUGCCCUUCUUUCGAAGCUGCCUCUGAUGGGUUGAUGGGUUACGAUGUCAUUUUACCUAAAGCUAGGCUGGUAAUACCAAUGUCCAUCCGAUUCUCCAAUCCCUGAUUGGAAAGCCAAAAAUGUACUGUCAACACCAGCAAGAGGACAGUAGGAAUAAAACACAGCUUGUUAAGCUCAGACUCUCAGAUUUGAAGAUAAACACUUAUGUCAUCUCAACACGGAUUUUUUUUAUGACAGAGCUUGGCGAUCAGCCACGAGACCCAACAGCCACGUGCACAUUGGAAUUAUCGUGGCUCCCUGUAUGGCUUCUGAAAGAGGAAUUAGAAGCUCAGAUUCCUUGAGGACUCUUAUUUCACACCACUUUAUAACUGUGAGAAACCCAUGGAAUUUUUCAAAAACUCUUUUGGGAAACAGUUUUAGAUUUAUGGAAGAGUUGUGAAGAUAGUGCAGAGGGUUUCUAUAAAUUCUUCCCCCGUUAUCCCUGAGUGUUAAAACCUUACGUUUGGUACGUUCAUCAAAACUAGGGAAUCAUCACUGGUACAGCGCUAUUAACUAAGCCACGAAGUUUAUUCCAACUUCCCCAGCUUUUCCACAAAUAUCUUUUCUCAAUCCCAGGAUCCCACACUGCACUUAAGUCUCCCUGUCUCCACAGUCACCUUAAUCCGAGGCAGAUUUUGGUCUUUCCUCAUUUUUCACGACCUUGACACCUCUGACGAGGGAGCAGUCAGGUGUCCCGUAGAAAGUCCCUCACUUUGGAUGUGUCGGACAUUUUCUUGUGUGUAGACUGAGGUUAUGGAUUUUGGAGAAAAUACCACAGAGGUGAAGUAUCCUCCUCGGUACAUCCUAUCGGGGGGUACAGGAUACCUAAAGGGGUACAGGAUAUCAGAUGACACAUGAACAAAUAGCUGGGGGAGAAUAACGUACUCAAGCAGUAUUCCAAGAGGUGUUUUCAGGCAUAGGGACAUGACAGUCCAUAAAAGAGCCCAUGUGGCUGAAAAACACUACCUGAAAUCUCUCGCUUCCCAAGAGCUCCAUUGGACUUCAUGCCAACAGAUAGUGCUGCCUGAGGACAGGCCUUUCCUGUGGCUCCUCCCACCUCCGGAUGCCCCUGGAAAAUGCAGGAAACAGUGCCAAGUGGGACUCAAGUACCCCAUCCAGCUAAGGCCUCACCCUAUUAUCACCAGAGGAGAGCCACAGACUGGCCUUGAGCACUGGCCCUAGAGAACUCGUGUGUGUGUGUGUGUGUGUGUGUGUGUGUGUGUGUGUGUGUGUGUGUGUGUGUGUGUGUAGUUCCUGGCUUCACUAGUAGCUUUUGAGGCUGCUUCAUGAGGAAAAUCUCUUCCAGGGGACACUCAGGGCAUUUUUCUCCCCAGAGCACACCUCAUGAUUUUCUUCUGCUCUGCUUCUCUCUCCCCACUAGCCCUUCUCAACCAGGGUUUCUGAGAGAAUUAACCCCUUAUGUCCUAAAGGCACCCAGUAUAUGGAACUUCUCUCUGUGCAUCUAUCUAGAAGCCAUGUACCAGCCUUGGGAAAAGUGAAAAAAACAAAACAAAACUGUUCAAACCAUUUUCUCUAGGGCUUCUGUCAUGGAACCUCAGUGGAGAAGGUUCUCUCCUAAGGUUAUUAUAGACAUGGUUGAACAGCUUCGGCUAGGGAGGUAUGAUUAGUGGGUCUUAAGAAUUACACUGGGACAGAGCUUACCUCCACCAGAGGCUGUCAGGAUGAUCAGGUGGUAGAGACAAAAGCAUCCUGGCAGAUGAAGGCUCAAAUCUGCUGCUGCUAUGUAACUUUGGACGAGUUUUUAAAUCUCUGACAUCUUGACUAUCUCAUAAUUGUUAUCUAUUGCUCUGUAACAAAUUACUCCAAAAUGUAGUGGCUCAAAACACCAUGUAUAUAUUACCUCAUAGUUUCCUUGGAGCAGGAAUCUGGGCACAGCUUGGCUAAGUUCUUUGGCUCACCAUCUCUCACAAGGCUAUGAUCAAGGUGUCGGCCAGGGCAGAAAUCCUCGUUGUGUUCAAGUGGGGCAAGAUCCACUUCUAAGUUCGCUCAGCAGCUGUUGGUAGAAUUCAGUGCCUCAUGGGCUGGUACUGAAGGUCUCAGUUCCUUGCUGGCUGUUGGCCCCAUGCUACACUCAGUUCCUUGCCAGGUGGGCCUUUACAUUCAAGUAAGCAAGUAAGAAGAGCCAGAGUACACACCGGUAAGGGGGAUGUCAGUCUUCUGUAAUCUAAUUACAGAAGUGACACCCAUCACUUUUGCUGUAUUCAUGAGAAGAGUCAUUAGGUCCAGCUCACUCUCAAGGGUGAAUGAAUACCAGGAGGCGGGGAUCACCGAGGACCAGGCUAGAAGCUGCCUACACUUCAGUAGAGUAGCACUAAUUGCCUUGCUCAAAUGCUCUUAAAAUUUGCAUACAGCACCUGCCACACAGGCAGACGGCCAGUAAACAGCAGCCACUACCAUAAAGUAGGUGCUUAGUUCACAUCUAUUUCCUUUCCCUCUCUUAUGCUAUUUGAGCCAUCUUUUUUCAUUGACAGAGGAUGUGUUUACCAAGCACUAGCUCAACAACAUGGUCUUAUUUUGUUAUAGGUGAAACUAGUCAUACCCAAGAGAGAAAUUUUCCCAGCCAGGGACUUGGGUUUUCUUGGGCCUGUGUUCACGUAGCUCAAGCUCUUCCCAGCUUUGGGUUCUUUACAGUUCCCUGGCUAUUCCAGUCAGGGGUGUGCCUAUAUCCUUGUUGUUUAUGGAUUCUAGACCUGGACUACCAUGACUUUCAAACAAGAGUACAUCAGUUCAUUCUGAAUGAGAAUUGGUAAGAGUUGGUUUUUGUGUACAUGUGUGGAAAACAAAGCUGAUGUAGAAUCAGAGGGGUUGUUUUUGGCAUCUCCCUGAGGCUCCUAACUAGCAGUAGUCAUUCCCCCGUGCGGUAGAUUCAAGCAAACCGAUAGUUGCCAACAGCCAUUUUCUCUUCCGUCUUCCUAACAGAGACAUGGCUCAGUUCUAGCACAUCCUCCUCUUGAGGCCAGUGGGAAGGUGAACCCAACCGAAGCCCCAAGAGGUGAGACUUAUUUAAGUCUGCCAAGGUGGUCCCAAUCUCUUUCCCGGUUAUUAGUUUGGGCAUGUUUAUGUACCCCAACUUCCCUAGUGAAAAGUGAGAGGAACCAUGCAGGUGGGCUCAUGAGCAAGUUUCUUUGCUCUUAAAAAAAAAAAAAAAAGGCUGGGAAACAAGGUCUUCUUCUCAAGUGGUUGGCCUCAUGUCUGGCAACUGUGCGAGCCAAAACCCUGCAGGAAGCAAUUCCAGAACGAAGCUCACAUAUGGAGGCUGGCAGAGCAGAAAGCCGGAAGGAACCUGGGUCCUUGAUGACAUCCAUGAGCUGCCACAUUUACUGAUCCUGGAACUGCCCAAUCUUGCAAUUUCUGUGAGGUAAUUCACCUCCCUUAAUAUUUAAGCUAGUGGCCUCUGAAGUAAACAAGAUGAUCCACAGAGGUGCAGGAAGAAAUCAGGAGCCAAUUAUGUUUUUAAAAGUAAAGAAGAGGGGCGUCUGGGUGGCUCAGUCGCUUGAGCGUCCAAUUUCGGCUCAGGUCAUGAUCUCGCAGUUCGUGGGUUCGAGCCUCGAGUUGGGCUCUGUGCUGACAGCUUGGAGCCUGGAGCCUGCUUCCGAUUCUGUGUCUCCCUCUCUCUCUGCCCCUCCCCUGCUUGUGCUCUGUCUCCUCUCUCAAAAAUAAAUAAACAUUUUUUAAAAAUAAAAAAAAAAAAAGAGUAAAGAAGCUUUGCCCAAACUUCAUUAACACAGUGUCUAUGUAAGUGGCCAGGUAGCACGCAGAAAACGUGAGGUACGUGCUUCAAGAAGCAGUUUGAGCUCCACAAAGUGCAGCCAUUGACAAUGGCGCCAUCUUGCAGAAUACUUAUUUUGUAUGUCCCCACCGAGCGAGUGGUCUCAUGGAUGUUAUCUGACAUAAGGGCACCCUUGCAAUACUUUAUUAUGGACCAGUGCCUGUCUGUAAUAUGGAAUGUGGAAGGUAUUAAAAAAAAACAACCACUUUAUCUGAUCCUUCAAGGUAAAGAUGACAUUCUAACAUUAAGUAGCUAUUUUUUCCAAAAGAAUUCAUGUUAAAAGCACUUUCAAAAUGGUCAGAUAUACUUCAACUUUACCAAAAUGUGUUACCAAAAACUGUCACCUAUAAACUCUCAUAAGUGCACACUGAAAGCUUGGGAUAUGAAAUCCAAACAGGAGUUUCAGUAGGUUUUGAGCCCGUUUUUUUUUUUUUUUUUUUUUUAAAUAUAUACCAACAAUAAAAAUGCCACACUUGCAAUUGAGCAAGAACAAGUUACUGACAGUGAGAAAGAUGGAAAUUUAUUAUAAAGAUUUCAACAAACACUUUUUAAGACUAGUAGAUGGAAUUGAAAAUGAGCAUUGUUUUUCAGUAAGCAGUCAUUUGGAUACUCCGAUCUUAAUCAAGUGGCUUUUUCAGCUACAAUAGCCAUUAAAACCCAGCAUUAAAAUAAACUUACCUUAAAACCAGAAAUUAUUUUUUAUCACAAAAUGUUAAAAUUAGAAGUUUGAAAAAUGAAGCAUUUUUUAAUCAUAUAGCUCUAAAAGAAAAAAAAUUUUUAGAAAGAGCAAAAGGUAUUUUUUUACAAUACACACAAAAGAUAUUUUAAAACAUUUUCACUUUUUCUAUUUCUUUUCUUUUUUUUUUUUGCCUAUGUGUCUUAGUAUAGUACAUAAACAUUAAUUUAAAAAUAUACAGGUCUAUAUACACAUGCUGGGGGUGGUGUUCUACGUGCACACAGGUGACUGGUUUGGACAGCAAUGUUUCAUGCUAUUGCUUACAUCCUUAGAAGAAACUUCUCCAAUCCUCCCAAAUACUAACUAUAUUGUCUUCAAGUUUUUGUAACUUACCCUUUUAAAAUUUUUAGUCCAAAUGGAAUUUCUUUUGGUGAAUGGUAUGAUGGGAAUAAAUUUAAUUUUCUCUACUUAAACCAGCACCUUUUACUGAAUAAUCCAUCAUGGUCAGAAUUAUUUUAAGAAGCCACCUUUAGAGUACUCUAAAUUCUUAAAAGCAUUGGAGUCUAUUUUUUAAACUCUUUUCCAUUGACUUUGUCUAUUUUUAUAUGAGUGUAAAAAUUUAAUUGCACUUAAAAACAAUUUUUUUGGUAGAGCAAGUUCCCUUUUUUCUCCCCUUUCAAUGAAGAUCCUAUUAUCAUCUGUUUAUACUUCCAUGUGAAUUUUUAAUUUGUAUUAAAAAUAAAUACUCUUUGGCAUUUGGAUUGGCUUUGCACCGAAUAUACAUGUUAACUCAAGAACUGAUCUAUUUACAACGGUCAAAACGCCCCUCUAUCAACCUCUAUCAAGGGUUUAUCAGCCUGUGUUCCUCUCUGCUUUCCUUCCACCCCACCCCCAAGAAACUAUGAUCUUAGAUGUUAAUCUGUGUUUUCUUUAGUUUUACUACUCAUGAAUCCCUACCCUAAACAAUGUACUAAGUUUUUCCAGUUUCUGAACUUUAUAGCCAAAUUAUUCAUCUUUCAAUGGUUUGCACUUCCUCUUUUGUUUACAAAAUCCUGCCCUUCCCCAAAGUCGUAAAAAUAUCCUUUUCUUUUUUUAAGUUUAUUUAUUUUUGAGAGAGAAAAAGAGAGACCAAGCUGGGGAGGGGCAAAAGACAGGGAGAGAGAGAAUCCAAAACAGGCUCUGCAAUGUCAGCGCAGAUCCCAAGGUGGGGCUCGAACUCACAAACUGGGAGAUCAUGACUGAGCCGAAACCAAGAGUUGGAUGUUUAACUGAAUGAGCCACCCAGGUGCCCCAUAACAAUAUCCUUCUGUAUUUAUUGUCUUCUAAAAGUUUCAUAGUUUUAACUUUCUUAAGUGAAUCUUGAAUACGCCUGGGAUUGCUUUUGCAGCUGGUGCAAGGUGGGGGGGGGGGGUCCAACUCACUUUUUUCCUUUGUGAAAAGUUAUUCAAGCACUGUUUAUUAAAUAAUCCAUUCUCCGCUCCGCCCCCCCCCCCCCCACCCGACUGGUCUGCACUGACCUCCUUUUAAAAAUUAAGUUCCCGUACUAAGUGGGUCAGUUUCUGAGCUGUUCAACCUUGUCUGUUCCUCCACUUGUAAUCUCUGUACCAAUCCCGCAUUGUUUUAAUGACUACAUUUGAUGUAAGUUUUUUGUUGUUGUUUCUUCAGAUGUCUGGGUAAAUGGCUUCUGGUUUUGUUUUUCAUUUUAGAGUAAGCUUUUAAAUCUGGUAGUGCUAGUUCCCUUCACACUUCAUUGUUUUUUAGUAAUGUUUUGAAUGUCCUUGGCCCUUUGCUCUUGCAUUCACAUUAUGGGAUCAGCUUGUCAAGUACCACAGUGAAAACCAUUGGGAUUUUUUGUUGGGAUUGCAUUAAUUUACUAAUCAAUUUGAACAAAGAGCUGCGACCUACAUGAUCUUCUUAUCCAUAUCUCCCAUUUAUUUAGAUCAAUCAAGGUGUUGGGGGUUUUUUCCAUCAUCGUUUUCUCAUUAAAAGGCUUAUAUAGCUCUUAAGAUUUAUUCUUCUAUACUUUAUACUGUUUUGUUCCUACUGUAAAUUUUCUUAAUUAAAAUUAAAAUCUUAAGACGUUAUAGAUUGUUGCUUGAUGCAUGGAAAUGUAAUUGACAUUCACAUGUUGAUUUUGUUCCAGUGAACCUGAUGAACUCUUAAGUCUUCUCAUCUGCCUUGCAGACUCUUUGGAUUUUCACAAUCUGAUCAUAUGUUAAUCUGUUAACAGAUGAGUUACACUGAUUGAUCUUCUAAUAUUAACCAACUUGCUGCCUCAGGUAAAUCCAUUGUGGUCAUCAUUUGUUAUACUUUAAAUACAAUGUUAGAUUUAAUUUGCAAAAAAUGCUUAUUGUCUUAUUGGAAGGUGCAAGGUGAUUUUAGAUAUCUCCAUCAGGUCUAAUUUAUUAGCUGUGCUAUUUAAAUCUUCUAUGCCCUUCAUCAUUAUGAUUUUUGUCUUCUUCAUGAUCUAUUAACUCAUGAGGGAGGUAUGUUUAAAACACCUAUUAUAUUGGUAGAUUAAUGUAUUUCUCUUUGUACUUAUGGCCAUUUUUAAAAAUACAUAUUUUGAGGUAUAUUAUUAGUCACUUAGGGGCGUAACUGAAUUUAAAACUGUUAUAUCCUUCUGGCCAAUUAAGCCCAUUGCACUAUGCAGAGGCUCUCCAUCAUGAGUAAUUUGGGGAGGGAAAUGGGCCUCCCCAAUGGGGACACUGAAGUUCAGAAAAAUAACCUUACCCAAGAACACACAACUCCAUUAAGCUGAGACAAACAUUUGCUCUCAGAUUACAUGUAGGAUAGUCCUUCUACCAAAACACGUUCUUUGAAAUGCAAAAUGUUCUGGAAUUCUAGAUUGUUAAAGACACAUGCCAAGAGAGGAAAUAAACACACAUAGGCACACAUAAAGAACUGACUCUAGUAGAAAAGUUUUAUACUCCGUAAAAAACAAUAUCUGCUAUAAGAGAGGGGAGAGGAUUUAAACAACUCCCUACCUGGCUGGGGAAAAAAAAAGAAAAAGCUGAAGAAGGCAAGGGUCAGGUGACUUAAAUGCAGAGAAAAAGAAAAGACAGUCACAGAACCCCGCUGGGUAUGGUAAUCUAAGAGUGGGUGUCACUACAACACAGCUUGGGUUUUAAACAAGUGGAGGACGAAAGUUGAAAACCGGCAUUCUGAGCACACUGUUAGGAAGUACACUUGUAUAGAGAAAGUGAGAGGAACUAAAACUGGCAAGAGGGAGCACAACACCCUAGGGGAUAAUGCUAAUACCACAGCAAGAAAACACAGGGGGGUUAUUUUUUUAAAGCACGGUGUCAUCAGUGCAAACAACCACAAGUCAAAAGUUCUGAUUAAAGGUCUACAAUGUGCCAGUGUUUAAAGAAGAAAAGGACACAUAUAUGUACAUAGGUAUAGAUACUACAUAUGUAUGCAGACUAUGUACUAAAUGUAUAUAAAUACACACACCCCGUUUCUUUUAUCGCUGGUACAGAGGUCAAGAUGGACACUCACCAUGCCACUGAUUAUCCACGACAGAACAGACAUGUGCUGAGUGUGCUUAUCGUUUAAGAGGGAAUUGUGAAUACACCAUAAGCAAAAUCCUAUGUUCUGUGCCAUAACAAAGUUCCAAUGAACCAAGUAUCAACAUAACAAGCCAAGGACAUCUGUACAAGAUUUAUUUCAUUAACCACAAUGUUUUAGAGUGACGGUUAUACACCCUAAUACAGAAGGAGUGAUUCCAAAUCCAUCCAGAGUUAAAGGUCAGAGCCAAAGUCAGUGGCUUUAAUCCCCAAUCAAAAAGAGUUUCAUUCACAAUUUUGUUAUUCUUAGAUUAACAGAAGAACUGAUGUACAGAACACCCUGUUCUAAGCUCCGCCAUGCUUUCCAACAAAGAAGCACCACCAGGGAUUAGACUUCAUUGCUUCCUCCUUGCUCUGGCUGUGCAGGUGGCUGGCAAGAGCCUCUUGUCUGUCUUUGACUCCCAUUUAUUCACAAACAUUCCUGUUUCCAGCCACAGUUCCCCACAACGUCACAUCUGAAUUAAUUUCUCCUGAAUUGCAUGGCUGUAAUAUUGACAAACAGGGCUAAUGAGAGCAAUUAAAUUGCCAUCUGUUUAACAAAACAUACCCUUCUAAGAGAAUAUCCACAGUCCUAUUGCAUUUAGUACAUCGUCACCACAUUGAAAUGACAUGUUAAAAUCAAUACAAAAAAUUUUUUUUCAAACCACAAAAUUUACCCCAGAGCCACUCUAUAAAUUUCCUAGAAUUAUAAACCAUUAACAUUUUUCUAAACAAUGCAAUCCAACCAGAAAUGAAGAUAAAUUUCCCACCAGCAGGGGUACAGUAUGUACUGAGGUCAAGAAUGUACCUCUGAUGAGGAUUCUAAUUCUCCCACAGCCACACCACCACCGUCAGCAGAAUCAGUGUAUGGACUUGUGCCACUCGGCUCUGGAAAGAAGUUCAAAAUAGGGUCCUGGCCAGGGGAGGAGGGAAAGCGUCAGUGACUUAGUUAAUCACCAGUGGGGACAAAACAGGAAUCACUACCCUUGAAAAAGAACAGGGGUCCUUUCAUCGAUUCUGGUGGCCAGAAACUGGGGCAAAUUGCAACAAGGUAAUGAAAGUAACAAGAAAGCCAUUUCUCCAAGAACUCCUAUAACUCCUGUCUUAACUUCUGAUAAACAUGAACUUCAUCUUAGGCAAGCUUAUUGAAAACUGCAAUCACAACUGAAAAGGUCCUAUAAACCUAUGCUAGUCAAGGGAUUCACAUUCUGAUCUUAAAUUUUAAAGUCCUUAAGAGGCCUAGACCCGGGGUAAAGUAAACAUAAUACUCUGAAGCGCAAUGAGACACCAUAAAAAAAUCAACUCAAAACAUCCAAACUGACUGGAUACCUAAUGCAGCUUUUUAAAAUUUUUUUACUAUCUCAGAUUAGUGUCUAUUCAUAAAACAAGGUUCAGUUAUUUUAAUAAUAACUGCUUACUAAACAACUGAAUUGUAGCUCAAGGGCAAUGCCUCUGUAAUUACCGUGGAAAAUAUUAACUGCCCUAAAACAGAGAAAACAUAGACGAAAAUAUAACUAGUCUCGAUAAGAAAAGAAGAUAAAAUCUGGAAGGGCUACUCUGGAGAUUAAACAGGCUUAUUUAAAUACUAUGAUACAAGUGCCCCUGCUCACUUUAUAACUGCAGAAACCGAUCGUGUUUACUAGAUCACCAUUACCUUUGCUAGAACGGGUGCACAGACCACCACUCUGAAGUUCUCCUUUUGUGCUGAAAAACUUUCAAAUCCCUUGUUCGGUCAGUACAGAAUAUUGCGAGGCGAUGCAUGUGCAAACUCUUCCUGAGGAAUUCUUCACGUGUGCAAAUCUGCAACCUGACAGAAAGCGUGGCAUUUAUAGCGGGGGAAGUGGCAGCUUUACGGGGCUGGCGCACUCGAGACGCACACGCAGCACGAACGGCCACGGGCACCUGUUCCCCUGCGAUCUCACUCACAGGUCAGUGUUCACCCCACGCCUCAAAGAAAGGGAGAGAGGAACUGCCUCAAAUUUGUAAAAGGGACACGGAAAAAAAAAGUGACUUUCCCACAAACCUGACCAAUGCCCAACUCCUGCCUCCAGGUUUGCGUUUCUUCUAACUCUACCUAAGAACUGUUCAGAGGCGCUAUACCAGGUUUUGCUUUCUGCUCCACAGAAAACAAGUAGAUCCUGUCGGGUUAGGGUGCAGCUGUGACAACGGGGAACAGGAGAUGACACUGUUACUGAAGCAUGAAGCCAACUCUGAAAGUAAGUACCGUCUCUCAAUUACAAUUACCAAUGACUUGGACAUGGCAUUACUUUGAGGUGACUGAACUGCUUUCUUUUGGAGAGCCUGGUUUCAGGCUGCACAUGCUUGGCGGUCAGGCUUGCCGAAGCAACUACGUGCCAAUUAACAAGACAAUCGGUGGACAGUUUUCUGUCCUCAAUGAUUUGGGCCCCACAAAAACCAGGAUUCAACUGGGGUGGAGAAACUAGAUACUGUACUGGCAAAGAAGAAUACAAGUAAACAUGAGAAGAAAACACUUUCUGGUAAACGGUGCUUUGUCAAUACAAAACGGAGGGCAACUCUGAUUUCCCCUCGUGUUGCAAACUAAGAAUUCUGGUAGGAAACCCAAUUAAAGAAGCAAGGUCAAUUUCUACUCAAAAACGAAGAAAUAGGCUUUCCAUACUGCAAUGUACCUCAAGGGGCCAACAGGUAACAACCACGUCACAUGCACUAGGAGAACGUGUAUCUUCUUUCUAUAGGGCCUUCCACUCAUGGCCUCGCAGUACCACGCCCUGGCCCAUAGCUAGCUGCAGUCACUGUGCAAAUAUUUAGAGAAGCUGAAUUUUGCAAACUUUGUCCACUUUUUGUUAACACAUAUAUAAUAAGAAGACAACAUAAAAUGUUUCUCCAUUAACUUAAUAAUGCAAAAGCAUCCAAAGAUUUUAACACCAAUUCACAUCAUAAUACAAUGCUUUUGUAGAGAAGUUCCCCUGUUAGCCAAAGAAACACUCUCCCAGAAAAAGCAUUUGGGUACAUUAUUAGGAUAAUGAAGAAUUCAUCCCACAUUUUAAAGAAGCAUCCCAAUUUUAUUCCUUUCAGAAAUAUUCCUGAAACCACUCAGGGGAGAUUUUAGUUGCAGGUGUUAUUUAUAAGCCUGCAGCAAGCGUUCCAUUGAGAAAGUAAACUUUGGACUUGAUGAUAGAGUGGAGUUCUUCCCCGAUACCAGAAUGCUACUGGGGUAGCGAAUCAAACUGUAUAGGGCACAGUGAGAACCUGUAUAUAUUCUUCCAGUAAUUCGGUGUGUAUCAAUACAACCCAAGAUGCUCACAGGGUUAAAAAUGAGUCCAAUUCAAAGUCCUCCACAAAAUCCAGCUCUGGUUGAGAAGUACUUAAAA